RNAcentral lists this ribosomal RNA (207 nucleotides) under uncultured bacterium. Its description in RNAcentral is "partial 16S ribosomal RNA". It matches the Rfam family "Bacterial small subunit ribosomal RNA", at positions 1293 to 1500 of the family's 1533-position model. The record is from RNAcentral.
UCGGAUUGCAGGCUGCAACCCGCCUGCAUGAAGUUGGAAUCGCUAGUAAUCGCGGAUCAGCAUGCCGCGGUGAAUACGUUCCCGGGCCUUGUACACACCGCCCGUCACACCAUGAGAGUCGGGAACACCCGAAGUCCGUAGCCUAACCGCGAAGGGGGCGCGGCGAAGGUGGGUUCGAUAAUUGGGGUGAAGUCGUAACAAGGUACC